AAUACUAACGCACAAUACUAACCAAUUUAUAAAUAUAUUGUGAUGUCGAUUAUCAUUGUAAAUUAUAAUACAAAUACAAAGUGAUAUCUACACUAGUUGAAAUUGAUACCUGACGGACCACUAUGAUAUACACGAAGCAGCAAUGGUACACGCCCGCCGAGGUGGUGGUCCACAACACGGCGCAAGACUGCUGGGUGUCGCUGCACGGGCGCGUGCUGGACCUGUCCGCAUGGCUGGCGGACCAGUUCCGGCUGUGCACGUGCCGCAAGAACUGCUCCUGCGUCAUCAAGAACUGGUACUGCGCCGAGGACUGCGUCGAGUACUGCCCCUGCUUCAAGCGCGGCUUCCCCUACUGCGACAAGAAGAGGCUCGCGAUGACGAUCGUGGCGUACGCGGGCAAGGACAUCUCGCACUGGUUCCGCGGAGACGAGUGGGUGCAGCACACGCACCCGGUGACGGGCGCGGCGGCGGCGCGGCGCCCGCACGGCCCCGGCCUGCGCGAGCCGCAGGUUCCCUCGACCAAGUGGCGGCCCUACACGAAGCCCUGGUGGCUAGACGACAGCCUGGUUGUCGGGAAGCUGACCGCCAAGACCAGGCCUAUUAGGAUCACCAAUACUCUUACUGGGUCGACGGUGACGCUGGAGGUGUGCUCGGAGGAGAGCAUGUACGAGAUCGUGCAGCGCUACCGGCGGCACAACACGCACGUGGGCUCGUACUCGUGGCGCUACCGCGGCCGCCGGCUCUGCUUCGCGCGCACGCUGGCCGAGAACGGCGUGCCCGACGAGCGCGACCGCUUCUCGGAGGUGCUGCUCCCGGACAACUGCUACGUGCCCGCCAUCCUCAUCUACUACAACGACGACUUGACUGAAGAGCCGGCGGUGGACGACUGCUUCUGCCGCGACACGGACUGCGUCAAGGACAAGCCCGAGGCGCACCUCCCGCUCUAGUGGACCGGCUGUGAGUGGUGCGAGGGUGCGAGGGCUGCGCAAGGAGGGCCGCUACACUACCGACCACUUAUAUAUUGUCAAAGCGGACCCCAGGCUCCCAUGAGCCGUGGCAAAUGCCGGGAUAACGCAAGGAGGAGGAGGACUUUCCAAAUAUAUGCAUAGAUCGUUUAAUUUGCAGCUGUAGUUCAAAUAAACACGCAAUGAAUUCGUAACUCACGUUAUUUUUACGUGGAUUCACCCUUAUGAUGUUUCUGUCGUCUUCAUUUGCU
RNAcentral lists this unclassified non-coding RNA (1216 nucleotides) under Leguminivora glycinivorella. Its description in RNAcentral is "cytochrome b5 domain-containing protein 1, transcript variant X2". Lineage: Eukaryota; Metazoa; Arthropoda; Insecta; Lepidoptera; Tortricidae. The record is from RNAcentral.